UGUUUGAUUCUAUGCAAAUUCAGUGACCUUCCUUGUUAUCAGCUAUAAAAACUUUACAUCAGACUGUCAGUGGAGUUCACAGCACGUCAGUUUCACUGUAAACCAUGUUUUCUGUAGCUCUGUUGCUGCUGUUGGCAGCUGGAUCCUGUGUGAAGUGUGAGCAGUUGACACAACCAGCCUCUGUGACUGUGCAGCCAGGUCAACGUCUGACCAUCACCUGUCAGGUCUCUUAUUCUGUUAGCAGCUACUACACAGCUUGGAUCAGACAGCCUGCAGGGAAAGGACUGGAGUGGAUUAGUAGUGACACAGAUGUCAAAGAUUCGCUAAAGAACAAGUUCAGUGUCAUCUUAGACUCUUCCAGCAACACAGUGACUCUAAACGGACAGAAUGUGCAGCCUGAAGACACUGCUGUGUAUUACUGUGCCAGAGACCCACAAUAA
Non-coding RNA from Xiphias gladius (swordfish), 440 nucleotides. NCBI's taxonomy places the organism in Eukaryota, Metazoa, Chordata, Actinopteri, Istiophoriformes, Xiphiidae. The record is from the annotation of a RefSeq genome assembly.